Long non-coding RNA from Drosophila bipectinata, 329 nucleotides. RefSeq lists it as uncharacterized. The record is from RefSeq and is a predicted model, not a curated record. NCBI's taxonomy places the organism in Eukaryota, Metazoa, Arthropoda, Insecta, Diptera, Drosophilidae.
AAAUUUGACAGUGAAGAACAAGAAUGAAGGCAUUUAUCACUAUGGAAAGAAGCGGGCUAAGAAGAUACAUUUUCGCAAUGUGACCAUAAACGAGGCACAUAUGUAAAUACGAUGUCUUCCGAGUUCCUACUCCGAUAUUUCUGGACCGGACUGUGGUGACAGUCUAAUCUUUCUUCUUCCAAAGACUGUACAAAUGUUAAAAACAUUACUCCAUUUAUUAUUAGAAACAUAUUUCCAUCAAAUUAUACACUUAAAACAAUGUAAAUCGACUGCAACAUCAACUAAACCGCAAUCACAAGAUGUAAAUAAAGAAGAUUUUGGUGCUUCGA